UAAAGACUAUGACAAAGAGAAAAAGCACACGAUUUUUGUGCCUUUCAUUAUUGAUCAACACUGGUCCUUAGUUGUGGUGGAACCUGGGAGAGAAGUUAUAACUGUUCUUGAUUCCUUUUAUGAAUUGCGGCUGUGCGAAAAACGUCAUGAAAAUCUGAUGGCUCAACUGCAAAAAAAUCUUUAUCCUUUCAUAGGCCUGGAAAAUGCUACGCACCGAUUUAUUACACCACCAGUAGUUCAGAAUCAAAAUAACAGUCAUGAUUGUGGUUUUCAUAUGCUUCUGUACAUAAAGCGAUAUGAGGAUCAAAACUACCAUAACAUUAGUGAGGACGAAGUCAUCAUGUGCCGCAUAGAGACUGCGAUGUUGCUCCUUAACAAUGAAGACAACAAGUGCAGGGACAAAUUUACAGAGAGCCAUGCAAUAACGAAAGAGCAAAAGAAAGAAAAGGUGAGAGAUAAAGUUGACGACAAGAAAGGAGAUAGAAAAGAUGAGAGUUCAGACGAUGAUUAUGAGGACAAGUCUGAGGAGGAGGAG
RNAcentral lists this unclassified non-coding RNA (535 nucleotides) under Zea mays. Its description in RNAcentral is "misc RNA Zm00001eb054080". Lineage: Eukaryota; Viridiplantae; Streptophyta; Magnoliopsida; Poales; Poaceae. The record is from RNAcentral.